UCUGUGUUCCCUUUAGAGGAAGUAAAAGUCGUAACAAGGUCUCCGUAGGUGAACCUGCGGAGGGAUCAUUACAAGUGACCCCGGUUCUGUUGCCUCCGGGGCGACCCUGCCUUCGGGCGGGGGCUCCGGGUGGACACUUCAAACUCUUGCGUAACUUUGCAGUCUGAGUAAAUUUAAUUAAUAAAUUAAAACUUUUAACAACGGAUCUCUUGGUUCUGGCAUCGAUGAAGAACGCAGCGAAAUGCGAUAAGUAAUGUGAAUUGCAGAAUUCAGUGAAUCAUCGAAUCUUUGAACGCACAUUGCGCCCCCUGGUAUUCCGGGGGGCAUGCCUGUUCGAGCGUCAUUUCACCACUCAAGCCUCGCUUGGUAUUGGGCAACGCGGUCCGCCGCGUGCCUCAAAUCGACCGGCUGGGUCUUCUGUCCCCUAAGCGUUGUGGAAACUAUUCGCUAAAGGGUGUUCGGGAGGCUACGCCGUAAAACAACCCCAUUCUAAGGUGACCUCGAUCAGAGUCCGUAGCCGA
This 521-nucleotide ribosomal RNA is filed under the name Cladosporium colocasiae. RNAcentral describes it as "eukaryotic LSU rRNA". The stretch from base 190 to 343 matches the Rfam family "5.8S ribosomal RNA". Lineage: Eukaryota; Fungi; Ascomycota; Dothideomycetes; Cladosporiales; Cladosporiaceae. The record is from RNAcentral.